RNAcentral lists this unclassified non-coding RNA (235 nucleotides) under Hevea brasiliensis (rubber tree). Lineage: Eukaryota; Viridiplantae; Streptophyta; Magnoliopsida; Malpighiales; Euphorbiaceae. The record is from RNAcentral.
AGAUGAUAGAAUAUAAUAAUAAACUAUUAAUAAAUAUAUCGAAUUAUUCCUGAAAGUGGGAACUUUCUUCUGAUUUAUUUGAGCUAGUCACCUCAAUAAGAAAGCUCGACUAAUUAUUGACCUAGGCUUAUGAUCAAGAUCUGCCCAUAGUUUACGCAAAAUUUGUAUAACCCACUAAUUUAUUAAAGAUUGUAUACUAACUACUAAUGCACUUAUUAGAGUAGUUUUCAAGUUU